RNAcentral lists this ribosomal RNA (254 nucleotides) under uncultured bacterium. RNAcentral's name for it is "partial 16S ribosomal RNA". It matches the Rfam family "Bacterial small subunit ribosomal RNA", at positions 524 to 776 of the family's 1533-position model. The record is from RNAcentral.
UACGGGGGGAGCAAGCGUUGUUCGGAUUUACUGGGCGUAAAGGGCGCGUAGGCGGUCAGCACAAGUCAGUUGUGAAAUCUCCGGGCUUAACUCGGAAAGGUCAACUGAUACUGUGCGACUAGAGUGCAGAAGGGGCAACUGGAAUUCUCGGUGUAGCGGUGAAAUGCGUAGAUAUCGAGAGGAACACCUGCGGCGAAGGCGGGUAGCUGGGCCGACACUGACGCUGAUGCGCGAAAGCCAGGGGAGCAAACGGG